UAUAAGUUGGGUUUUCUUCUAGUGGUGUCACUCCCUACUUCACAAGAUCCCAAUGAUCUUGAUAGCAAAAAAAAAUCUUUAUAUGCUUCCACACAUUCUCGUUAUUCUGAUUAUUCAGAAUUGGGAGACUUGCUGAUGUCGCUACGCGAAAAAAGUUGACUGAACGACGUCAACAAAAUGACACAGAGUUGCCACCAGAUUUUAUUUAUUCCUCAUAUAAAAGAGAGGAAAGGGA
RNAcentral lists this long non-coding RNA (235 nucleotides) under Lathyrus oleraceus (garden pea). RNAcentral's name for it is "Pisum sativum (pea) long non-coding RNA (PSAT_LNC008011)". Lineage: Eukaryota; Viridiplantae; Streptophyta; Magnoliopsida; Fabales; Fabaceae. The record is from RNAcentral.